GUGUCAGCAGCCGCGGUAAUACGUAGGUGGCGAGCGUUGUCCGGAUUUAUUGGGCGUAAAGCGCGCGCAGGCGGUCCGUUACGUCCGUUGUGAAAGCUCCCGGCUCAACUGGGAGAGGUCUUCGGAUACGGGCGGACUCGAGGAAGGUAGAGGAAGGUGGAAUUCCCGGUGUAGUGGUGAAAUGCGUAGAGAUCGGGAGGAACACCAGUGGCGAAGGCGGCCUUCUGGGCCUUUCCUGACGCUGAGGCGCGAAAGCGUGGGGAGCGAACCGGAUUAGAAACCCCAGUAGUCC
This 292-nucleotide ribosomal RNA is filed under the name uncultured bacterium. Its description in RNAcentral is "partial 16S ribosomal RNA". It matches the Rfam family "Bacterial small subunit ribosomal RNA", at positions 505 to 796 of the family's 1533-position model. The record is from RNAcentral.